GGGGCCCGCACAAGCGGCGGAGCAUGCGGAUUAAUUCGAUGCAACGCGAAGAACCUUACCAAGGCUUGACAUGUGCCGGUCUGCUCCGGAGACGGGGUUUCCUCCCUUGUGGGGGCUGGUUCACAGGUGGUGCAUGGUUGUCGUCAGCUCGUGUCGUGAGAUGUUGGGUUAAGUCCCGCAACGAGCGCAACCCUUGUCUCGUGUUGCCAGCACGUUGUGGUGGGGACUCGCGGGAGACUGCCGGGGUCAACUCGGAGGAAGGUGGGGAUGACGUCAAAUCAUCAUGCCCCUUAUGUCUUGGGCUUCACGCAUGCUACAAUGGCCGGUACAGAGGGCUGCGAUACCGUGAGGUGGAGCGAAUCCCUUAAAGCCGGUCUCAGUUCGGAUCGGUGUCUGCAACUCGACACCGUGAAGUUGGAGUCGCUAGUAAUCGCAGAUCAGCAACGCUGCGGUGAAUACGUUCUCGGGCCUUGUACACACCGCCCGUCACGUCAUGAAAGUCGGCAACACCCGAAGCCCGUGGCCCCGG
Molecule: ribosomal RNA, 529 nt
Filed under: uncultured Actinomyces sp.
Lineage: Bacteria; Bacillati; Actinomycetota; Actinomycetes; Actinomycetales; Actinomycetaceae
Description: bacterial SSU rRNA
Rfam family: Bacterial small subunit ribosomal RNA
Source: RNAcentral